AAGGGAGGGUAACACAUCGAUCCUUGUCUUCUGCUAAGUUCGAACCUCAGAAGAUAGGGUACUGUACUAUUAGUAAAAGAGGUGUCUACUGUUACUGUUGUAUGUACUUGAAGGUGUGUUACGUUUUACGGUUAACUGUGUAUAAAUAACACAUCAACUACCGUCAGUGUAUCAUACAAGGACACAACUACACUUAGCAUCGGAACGAUGACCACCAUGUUCGGUCGAGUAUACGAGGUCGCGGCGUGAGUUCUCCUAGUGGAGCGGCUGCCUUUCCUAUACUAUACAGGUCUACGGGUGUCCUCUUUCCACCCGUGGGUAGUAGGGCAGGGACCUGUACUAGACGACGUUUUUGAUGUUGUUUCCUCUUCUGUCACUUCCGAAUAUCCCAUUAUCUUGCUAUUUUACGUGGCCUCAAGGGGUGUUUUCGAAAGAGUGUCUACGUGAUCCCUGAACUAUAGGAUCACACAAGACAAUUCUCAUGAUUCCGUCCGUUCCCUAGCCGUAGCUGAUCAACUAGUAUAGGUCGACAUAUAUGGUUAAUUAUCACACUGGCCCUUUAACUAACACUUAAGUACCCAUAUACUGCUGUGUGUUUUCUUCUCCUUCUAUAAAGACAGGGUAAGACAUCGAUCCUUGUUUUCUGGUGAGUCCCGAACUUCGGACAGGGCACGGUACUAUUAAGCAAAAGAGGUCUCUACUGUUACUGUCAUAUGUUCUUGAAGGCGUACAUAAAUAAUAAGUACAUUGUUCCCUGACCUGACUUCGUUCAAGCGUUAGUGUGAGUUUGGUGACCGUCCGCUAUCGUAGACUUUACAAUAUGAGUCCGGAUUGAUAGUCAUUUCGUCCUGAGACUGACGAAUGGAUAUCUACUGUUCGUUAUUUACGACAACGAAAAAAUGAAGAAAACGUGAACGGACGUAGAAGAAGAAGUAGGAGAAGGAGAGGUAGGAAUAAUGUCAUGAUGUCCUUCUACUCAUUUAAUGAACGAUAUCAGGAGGACGACGAUGGAGAAUGCUUGGUACCUUGGAUGAACCGUUGCCGUACCCUACUAUUUCUAAAGAAGUUUAUGACGGGUGGUAGGGUCACGUCGGUCGUACCGGGUCUCUAGUCCAUAGGAAAGACGGAGCUUAGUUCGUUAUUUAGUAGUAGUAGUACACCUACACCACCGUCUUGUUAGUCCUUCUAUCGUACGAGACCGGUCCUGUGGUAGGAUCAGGUGGGUCAAAAACCGGGUAUGUCACAGUCGCGGUAUCUAAUGUUCGCAAGAAGGUACUUCUAGUGGGGCGAACAUCUGUGGACAAACCACGAGGUCGUCUUCGAGUAGUAGAGGUCUUCGAGUAGUAGAGGUGUCCAACUACAAGAGUUGGUACUCUCCGGUUCAGAACUGGCUAAAAAGGAAACCUCAAGAUGUUUGGAUCAUGUGACAAGUUCUCUCAAACGUGGACCACGACGGCUAUCCUAACGACCGGGUGAGAGGACGUAAUCGUUGUAUUGGGUGAAGAAGAUAAACCACCGACCAAUACUUCUGUACAGAGAAGAAGGCAACCUGACGUUCCAGCAGGGUCAGAGUCUACCACAGCCACCGGCAGACUUUGGGUACAUAACCUCAACGCCGGUUUAUAUGCUGGGUGCCAGGAAGUUCCUUCGACGUUUUUGUAAAUAGUUAAGACAACUCUGGUGUGACACAACCUGACUACUACUAACGUCUCUCACACUCGAGUCACCCGAUGCGACGCGCAAGUCGAGUGUUGUCUUAGUUCGUAAGACAUACGGACUGCCAAGGGCAUAGUUUCAGUAGCGUCCAUGAUGAGACUGACGUCAGUAAAAUUAAUGGUUUAAAUAUAUUACGUUUAGGGAUAACAACCGAUGAGACUUGGAACUGCAGGAGAAUAGGAAUAGGUGUAUUUUGAUUCAUUCCCGAAAAUUAAGGGUUACGUUAUACGACUACAGUAUAUAACAAACAAAUAAGUCGAUGUAGUAGCCACCGGCGUAAACAACAAGAAAACAAUUGCCACCGGUGACACGAAAUAGAAAGUGAGUUCUGUUCUAUAUUAUGCCUCUAUGUAAACUCCCAGCUUUACAAAGAGUUCUGUAUACCUCGUAGCUUUGGGUGCUCCAUGUGAAAGAGACUUCAAUUCUUCUACCGUUCUGCCAAAUUCCUUUUUCAUCCCGUCCCUCCUAAACCUUCACAUAUGUUUCCGCUCGAUGGUUUACCUCACGGGCACCGUCAGUUCUACGAUCUCUUGAGAUGUCCUCUCCCUGUUCGUAAGUAGUUACUUCAACGUUGGUAGCCUGAUUAGGUGGUACGGUUAUAACAGGCGGAGGAACCUAAAACAAGGCUUCCUUACUCUGCCCGAGACUAAAUACUUAAGUACGGAUUACUCAGUGAUCUCUUUAUAUAAAAGAGAGCACUGAGACGUUUAAAGGUCGUAGAAGACCAUGGGCUGUUCGACGAUCUAUAACGAAAUCCGUAACGGUCUCCUUACCUCAUGAACGUAGUUCCCACGUUGGUCGCGUAGGAGGUGAAACUGUAGUUCGGAGUGUUAUAGGACGACCUGAUGUUGAAGUUAGGUUUCUAGAGUCUGAAACCGGAACGUUUCGACACGCGUUCCCUGGUUUCGUAGCAGUGGAAUUGUCGUCGUUCUCCGUGUUACCCCAUGUAACGUGGUCUCGAUAUGAGAGCCUUGAAACCCCCUCAUAGCAUGUUCAGUGUGCACAUGUCAAAGCCGUACGACCACGAUCUUUACCAUUCGCCCUCCUCCUUAAGUCUGGGUUCUUAGCCCUCGGUCCUGCUACAAAUGGAGGGUCUCACCUAGAUGCUCUUUCAAUAGUUACCCCUCCUCAACCACGAAUGAAACCUUUGCUGAGCUCUCCUCUUUCUUUUCCACUCCGUCGACCGUUACCAACGUGACACCACAUAGGUCACCUUGGGUUCUUUGGCCGGCAGCUACUGUUUCCAGCAAUUGUACGAUUGUCCCUCCAACGUCUCAGACGUCUACGGGGGUUUCGGAAUGCAGAGUAUACUUUUACUUGGAUACGGUAUUUAGUUUUGUCCCUGAUGGUAUGAGACAGUUGUAAGUUCCAACAUGAAACAGACGCGCACACAACGUUGUUAUUGUUGGUGACACAAAACUACGAAAGUCAGAUACAGACUUCUACAUACUUAUUAGCGACCAGUGAUGGUAACAUUAGAAUGAGAUGACUAAUAAACGUUCUAUGUGCUAAGCGUUAACGAUGAGGUUAUAAAUAGAGGUUUUCAACGCUUAUCGCAACACACGUUAAGUCAUAAGGCAACUAAUGGAAUAAGCCAGAGGGUAUAAAGAGACGUAGACACUCAAUCACUUAGAGGAGAACCGUCAAUCAUCUACACGGACUACUGCCUCGAAAACGAAACGUUGAGGGUAUAAACCGUAUAAGGCAACGAUUGUCUCCGCUACACGGACUGCCUCGAAAAGG
RNAcentral lists this ribosomal RNA (3459 nucleotides) under Triticum aestivum (bread wheat). RNAcentral's name for it is "partial small subunit ribosomal RNA". The record is from RNAcentral. Lineage: Eukaryota; Viridiplantae; Streptophyta; Magnoliopsida; Poales; Poaceae.